CCUACGGGUGGCAGCAGUGAGGAAUAUUGGUCAAUGGAAGCAAUUCUGAACCAGCCAAGCAGCGUGCAGGAUGACGGCCCUAUGAGUUGUAAACUGCUUUUAUACGGGGGUAAAAUGCGUCACGUGUGGCUUUUUGCAGGUACCGUAUGAAUAAGGAUCGGCUAACUCCGUGCCAGCAGCCGCGGUAAUACGGAGGAUCCGAGCGUUAUCCGGAUUUAUUGGGUUUAAAGGGAGCGUAGGUGGUUUUAUAAGUGAGUGGUGAAAUGCCGCGGCUCAACCGCGGCACUGCCGCUAAUACUGGAGGACUAGAGAGCGGAUGAGGUAGGCGGAAUGUGUGGUGUAGCGGUGAAAUGCUUAGAGAUCAUACAGAACACCGAUUGCGAAGGCAGCUUACCAAAGUGUAACUGACGUUGAGGCACGAAAGCGUGGGUAGCAAACAGGAUUAGAUACCCCUGUAGUC
RNAcentral lists this ribosomal RNA (460 nucleotides) under uncultured bacterium. RNAcentral's name for it is "partial 16S ribosomal RNA". It matches the Rfam family "Bacterial small subunit ribosomal RNA", at positions 338 to 795 of the family's 1533-position model. The record is from RNAcentral.